Molecule: ribosomal RNA, 253 nt
Filed under: uncultured bacterium
Lineage: Bacteria
Description: partial 16S ribosomal RNA
Rfam family: Bacterial small subunit ribosomal RNA
Source: RNAcentral
UACGAAGGGGGCUAGCGUUGUUCGGAAUUACUGGGCGUAAAGCGCGCGUAGGCGGUGAUCUUUGUCAGAGGUGAAAUCCCGAGGCUCAACUUCGGAAUUGCCUUUGAAACGGGAUCGCUUGAGUCCGAGAGAGGAUGGCGGAAUUCCUAGUGUAGAGGUGAAAUUCGUAGAUAUUAGGAAGAACACCGGUGGCGAAGGCGGCCAUCUGGCUCGGUACUGACGCUCAGGCGCGAAAGCGUGGGGAGCAAAUAGG